GUUGAUGGCGCAGCCUGAUCAGCCAUGCCGCGUGUGUGAGAAGGCCUUCGGGUUGUAAACCAGCUUUUGUUGGGAGGAAGGGGUUCUGGUUAAUACCUGGGGGUCUUGACGGUACCUGAAGAAUAAGCACCGGCUAACUUCGUGCCAGCAGCCGCGGUAAUACGUAGGGUGCAAGCGUUAAUCGGAAUUACUGGGCGUAAAGCGUGCGCAGGCGGUUAUGCAAGACAGAUGUGAAAUCCCCGGGCUCAACCUGGGAACUGCCUUUGUGACUGCAUGGCUAGAGUACGGCAGAGGGGGAUGGAAUUCCCCGUGUAGCAGUGAAAUGCGUAGAUAUGCGAAGGAACACCGAUGGCGAAGGCAAUCCCCUGGACCUGUACUGACGCUCAUGCGCGAAAGCGUGGGGAGCAAACAGGAUUAGAUACCCUGGUAGUCCACGCCCUAAACGAUGUCAACUGGUUGUUGGGAGGCUUUCUACUCUAUAACGUAGCUAACGCGUGAAGUUGACCGCCUGGGGAGUACCGCCGCCAGGUUAAAACUCCAAGAAAUUUGACGGG
This 554-nucleotide ribosomal RNA is filed under the name uncultured bacterium. RNAcentral's name for it is "bacterial SSU rRNA". It matches the Rfam family "Bacterial small subunit ribosomal RNA", at positions 359 to 917 of the family's 1533-position model. The record is from RNAcentral.